This 137-nucleotide ribosomal RNA is filed under the name uncultured bacterium. Its description in RNAcentral is "partial 16S ribosomal RNA". It matches the Rfam family "Bacterial small subunit ribosomal RNA", at positions 355 to 509 of the family's 1533-position model. The record is from RNAcentral.
UGGGGAAUAUUGCACAAUGGGCGAAAGCCUGAUGCAGCGAUGCCGCGUGAGGGAAGAAGGUUUUAGGAUUGUAAACCUCUGUCUUCAGGGACGAUAAUGACGGUACCUGAGGAGGAAGCUCCGGCUAACUACGUGCC